ACAGGGACAGACGGCAAGUGAAUUCAAAGUCGCGCAAAAAACAAUACUGUGAAAUAGUUAUUACGUUUUUUUAAUUGUGUAAUCAACACGUCAUCCUGAGUAUAAUGGUCUUAACCUUAUAAUAAAUAUAUAAAAUGGAAAUAAUUCACAACAGUUUUUAAAAAUAUUUACAAAUAAUAUGAAUUUACACUAUAAAACUACAUUCACAAAAUUUUCGUGUUAAAUGCUAACACCUUCAUGCGGUCUUUGUGUAGUGCAAUACGUAAUAAUUCGGCAUUAUUAACUGCAAAAAAUAAUCCAGGAGGAGGCGGCCGAGGAUACGGGAUAAGUCUUGGUGGUCGAGGUAUGAAACCUAUCCGAGGCGCUAUUAUUCCUACGGGUGGUCUUGGUGGAAAAAUUGGCGGAUGAGGUCGAUAUGGAUACAUUGGGUGCGGCCAUAUCGGCGGAAUUGGAGGUCUAACGAUAUAAGCAACCGGAGCUCCAUUUGGCAUUUUCAGAAUCUUCGUCGAGCUCUUCUUCGUGUUGUGAUCUUUCUGACUCUUCGUAUGAGUCUUGACGCGAUGAAUGCGAAUAGUCUUCGCUUUCCUGUCUGCUGUCUCGACUGUAUCGUCUUCUAUCCGAUCUUGAGGUUCAUGGACGCACUUCUGCGAGAAAAUUGGCUGCUGCCUUCAUCAAUGCGAGAUCUCUCACGUCUACAAUCUCUGGACGAAUUUCUUCUUCGGUCUCUCAAUCUGUCUCUGAAAAACGAGACUUAACAAACGCUGCUCCAAUCUUGGAAUUUUUUGGACACCGUCAAUGAUGGAAAGAUAUGCCAUCUCCGAAUAAUUCAAGAAACAGUAAAUUCGAAUAUUGUUAAGUAAAGUAAGAAGUGGUUAUUAUGACGUGGUAAAUUUAUCAAGAUCGCUUGAAAAUUUCCAUUUCAACAUUGAACAGAGGAUAACAAGUAACUCACAAUUACGUGGGUUUAAUAAUUUUACUUUAAAAUUCAUUUAAAUACUUAUUUGAGAAAUUCAACACGAAAUUAAUUAUCACAAGUUGAAAGUAUAAAAAUUGAAUUGAAUAUGAAAUUUUAUUUUCUAUUGCGUUACAGUUAUUAUUUCGAAUAAUUCUGAUUGAAGUAUGUUUUGACUUUCAAUUCAACAAUGUUUCUAUUAUUUCUUUUUUACGUUACUUUUUCAUUUAAUAAUGUUAUUGUCUUUUCGAGACAUGAGAAUUACUCAUGCAAAUUCACUUCCCUUAAUUUACAUUCUUCAAAUUUAAGGAUGUUUGCAGAAAGAGCAACUACUGCUGUUACUUUCAAAAUUAAAUAAUUAUGAGAAUUCUAUAAUUAAAACUCACUCCGUUCGUAUCGAUCAUGAUCGCUAGAACUGGAAUUACGAGAUUUUCUAUCUCCUAAGCAACAAUAAUAAGAUACAUAAUCGUAAAUAAAACUAUAAUUAACCUCAGUCUUUGUUGAAUAAAAUAUUAAUCGUAUUGAAUACCUCGAGGAUGAACAGUCACUAUACGAGUGGCACUAGUUUGACGAACUGGAGAACAGCUAGGUUUGGAAUUCACCGAUAUUUGUAUAUUAGAAUCCAAAACAAGAGGUUCUUUCGGGCCUCCAUAAGCUGGUUUUGUCAAUUUUACACUUUCUUCGAGUCUGUUAGAAUGUUGAAAAGUGAUAAUUAUAAAAAAUUACAGAUCAGUGAUCUAAUAGAUUAUAAUAAUUAAUGUACCUUGAUUUAUGUCCUUCGGAAGAAUGAGAUCUCUGCCUAGAACGCGAAUUCGUUCUGCGGAAUCGGUCCUCUCGGCGCGGACUUCUAUAAUUUAUUAAUUAGAAAUCAAAACAUUUAAGUACAUAGGGUCGAUUUGAUCAGUGAAAUUUGAUACUGAAAAUUAAUUUGAACAUUACCUUUUCGAUCUAGAAGAACUUGAAACGUGACUACUAUGAGUAGACGACGAUGCACGAUGAUGAAUCGGACUUCUGCUUCUCAUCCGACCUCUGUAAUUGUAUAGAUAUAGAAAGACUUUCAAUAUUAUGAAACAAAACGAACACUCCUUACCUGUUGGGAGGAGAUGUGUAUGCAGCUAUAUGCUCAUAUUCUUCUGUCGAUGAUGAUCUCAUUUCUCGUCCCAUUGUUAAGAAAACACUACUGAAUACUUAUUAAUAAUAAUAAAAGAGACAAUUUCUAAAAACUGAGGACAAUGUUCAGUGAUAAGUUAAAACAAUAACACUGGACACUGUAUCGUUCUCGAAUGUAACUUUUAAAGGGCAUUUUCACAUGAAAAAUGUUUCAUAAAUUAUCAUUCAAUGAACUAUACUAUUGAGAAUAAUUCAAAAUUGAAUUAUAUACAGGCUCAUAAAAUAAUGCGUGCCUAUCAUUUAAAAAUAUUAUUGUAUUUUCUUUUUAAAAAAAGCAACCAUAACAAGAGACGGAUUCUCUCUAAACUGUGAUCAAUGACGUCACUAGUCGAUCAAUAUGACGCUCAGGCUCAAAGCUUCCAUGCAUUUUUACAUAUUUUCAGAAAUUGAAAUAAUUAUUUUGUAAAUUGUAAUUGUAAUUGACAAUUUUUCGUUUUAAUAUUUAUCAUUUAAGACGUCAUCGAUGCAUAUUAUACCUAAUAUUGUAUUAAAUUGUUCUAAAUAAGUAUUUUUAGAUACAAUUGAAUGAUCGAAUGGAUUGCCAUUCCAAUGUGCCUAACAAGAGUACAUAACAAAAUACAAUCGUUUUUUUGAAUUCA
Molecule: long non-coding RNA, 2721 nt
Organism: Planococcus citri (citrus mealybug)
Lineage: Eukaryota; Metazoa; Arthropoda; Insecta; Hemiptera; Pseudococcidae
Exons: 6
Source: RefSeq, a predicted model, not a curated record